RNAcentral lists this ribosomal RNA (298 nucleotides) under uncultured Actinomycetes bacterium. RNAcentral describes it as "uncultured actinobacterium partial 16S ribosomal RNA". It matches the Rfam family "Bacterial small subunit ribosomal RNA", at positions 9 to 301 of the family's 1533-position model. Lineage: Bacteria; Bacillati; Actinomycetota; Actinomycetes. The record is from RNAcentral.
GAGUUUGAUCCUGGCUCAGGACGAACGCUGGCGGCGUGCUUAAUACAUGCAAGUCAACGAGAAACAGGGUGCUUGCAUCCUGUGGACAGUGGCGCACGGGUGCGUAACACGUAGGUAAUCUGCCCUUAGGACUGACAUAAACUCCGGGAAACCGAAGCUAAUAUCAGAUAAUGCAGCGGCUCGGCAUCGAGACAGUUGUUAAAUCUUCGGAGACCUAAGGAUGAACCUGCGUCCCAUUAGGUAGUUGGUGAGGUAAAAUGCUCACCAAGCCUGCGAUGGGUAGCUGGUCUGAGAGGAU